Non-coding RNA from Heterocephalus glaber (naked mole-rat), 2524 nucleotides. The record is from RefSeq and is a predicted model, not a curated record. Lineage: Eukaryota; Metazoa; Chordata; Mammalia; Rodentia; Bathyergidae.
CCUUAUCUCUAAAAGGAGAAUAUAAACAAAACAUAACUCACAUUUUAACAUAAAAUUAGAUUAGAUCAUACGUAAAAACUUUCAGAAACUAUGAAGUGAGUUGAAACAUCAGUGGUGAAUCACAGUCAACUGAUCAAAUAGAAAGACCUGUCAGACGCCGUUGUCAGUAUUAUCGCUUUUUUCUGUCCAUCCUCUCCCCCUGGGGAAAUACCCGCUCCCCAGCCCUGUGAGUUGGUUGUGGCCUUGCCUCUGCCUCAGCAGGGGACCUAGGGGCUCUGUCUCCUGGGAACCAAGGCACCAGGUCAUUGUGCGGUUGGGUGUCUAAUGGAGCCAUGCAGCUCCUUGUAACAAGCGGUCCUCGCUACCCGGUCUCUGCUGUCCCGAAGCCUGGCUGUUUGGCCUUCCCUUCAAGUCCAUGAACUGCCCAAGAGAUUUUCUCCUUUCUUUUGCUUAAGUCCACAGCUUUUAUUUCUUUGCUACUCCAAUCAUUAAUUGACCAAAGCUCUCCCCUGGGUUGAUUUUAAUUAAUCUUCUGCACUAUCCAUUGAGUUUUUAUAUAUUCAUUCUGCACAUACUUUUGAAGGUAUAAGAGCUAUGGUUUUCUGAUUUUGAGAACCUCAGUCUUCCCUCUAGACUCUGCGCUGUGGUGUGGAUGUCUCCAGCAAAACUCAUGUUGAAAUGUAAUCCCCAUUGUGAGGUCCUGAGAGGUUGGAAACUUAGUCCAAAUGUGGUAUUUGGAGGUGGGGCUUUGGGAAUGAUUAGGAUUCACUGAAGUCAUAAGGGUGAAAGCCCUGUGAUGUAGCAGGAGUGGCUUUGUAAGGGGAAGGGAGAGACCCGGGGCAGCCCAUUUUCUGUGCCUCACCAUGAUGCUCUGUGUCAUCACAGCCCAGAAGAAAGGCCCUCACUAGGUGCACGCCCGCACCAGCCCCAUGCUCAUGGCCCUCCAGAGCCACAUCAACCUCUGCUUUCUAAAACAACCAACUUAUCCCAUUUGAGGUACUCAGUUACAGUAACAGAAAGCAGGCUAAGACACUGCUUCCCAAGCCACCCCAGCUAGGGCCGGACAUAGUGUCACACGUCACGAGCACAGGAGCUGCAGCAGUGAGCAAAGUAGACUGGCAGCGCCUCCUCAAAACCCUUGAGGUCACGGAGCCAGGAACCUGCAAUGCACAGCACACGCCAUAGUGGUUCCAAGUAGGUUGCCCGGGAUGCCACCGGAACGCCCCAGAGAGAACGCGUUCCAGGAAUCCCAUUGUGGGGUGGCUGGGCUUAGGGGGGCCUUCUCGGGGACUUGGGGCUGCCACUGCUUACCAGAGGGUGUGCCAGAGAACACUGAGGUGAGGGCUGGAACUGAAACAGCAAAGAUGCUGCAGUCAUAGCGAGCACAGCUUUUAAUAGCACGAGCAGUAGGCAGACUGGGGAGGCAGGAGGACUCCCGUGCGUCCAGAGCUUCACAAUCAGAAAUGCCCUCUUGGUGAAGCACGAAGGUGAGGCCCGCAUGGAAACAGCCUCAUUUACUGGUUCCAGUAACCAGCUGAAGAAACCAUUCUGCAGUGUUCCUCAACCGUGAGAGCUAUUAGAAACAUCUGGAGCAAUUUAAAAAUUUCUGAUACUCUGAUUACAAGCCCAAGAAUUAAAUCAGAAUCUCUGAGAGUGGACAGCAUCCUUAGUAGCUGCUAAGAUUGAGAACCAGUGUGUCAAGUUUGGGGGUGUGUGCUCACAUCACUACAUUCAAUCUCAUCCAACCUUACAUUUGUGUUCCUUGGUUUGGUCUACGCACCCCUCUGUCGGAGUCAAUUUUGUUUCUAUACCAGAUUGUCAGUUUCGGGGCUUAUUGUUCUGGUGAAGCUGUUAUCAUCUGAAGAGGCUUGAAGACAGAAAGGCAGGAGCAGAAAUCUGUGUCUUAACGCAGUUUAAGAGUGGGAGAGAGAGAAGCACCUGCUGCAAACCCUUCUCUAUCACCUGUUGCAAUCAGCAUUCACCUCCCCACACCACUCUGCUGGGGAUUAACUUCCCAACACCAGAAAAAGGAGCACUCAAGCCACAGCACCAUGGGCCCCAGAAUCCUGCUUAUUAUGGACUGAUCUGUCACCCUCACCCCACCCAGAGUUGUAUGCUGAAAUUCUAUCCACCACCUCAGAAUAUGAUUGAUUGUAUUUGGAAAUAGGGCCCUUAAGAAGCCUCUACAGGGAAAAUGAGGUCAUAAUGUGAUACUACAUGAUCUGAUACUGGUGAUACUGAUCCAAUAUGCCUGAUGUACCUAUAUAAAGAGGAGAUUAGGGCACCUUCAAGUACAGAGGAAAUAUCACAUGAUGAAAUACAGAAAAUGCCCAUUUGUAGGUCAAGGAAAGAGGCCUUAAAAUGAAAUCAACCUGCCUACACCUUAAACUUCUAGGCUCCAGAACUUGGAGAAAGUAAAUGUCUAUCAAGUCCCCAAGUCUACAUUAUUUGUUACAGCAGCCCUGGCAAACUGAUACUAUUCCUAAAAAAUUGCAAGAUUUUGUAGCUCCUCUAGUGAAUGAAC